This 578-nucleotide ribosomal RNA is filed under the name uncultured bacterium. RNAcentral's name for it is "bacterial SSU rRNA". It matches the Rfam family "Bacterial small subunit ribosomal RNA", at positions 334 to 905 of the family's 1533-position model. The record is from RNAcentral.
GCUUCCUACGGGAGGCAGCAGUGGGGAAUAUUGGACAAUGGGCGAAAGCCUGAUCCAGCAAUACCGCGUGUGUGAAGAAGGCCUUCGGGUUGUAAAGCACUUUAAGCAGGGAAGAAAAAACUCAAACUAAUAUUUUGAGUCUUGACGGUACCUGAAGAAUAAGCACCGGCUAACUCUGUGCCAGCAGCCGCGGUAAUACAGAGGGUGCAAGCGUUAAUCGGAUUUACUGGGCGUAAAGCGUGUGUAGGUGGUUGGGAAAGUCAAUUGUGAAAGCCCCGGGCUCAACUCGGGAACUGCUUUUGAUACUGUCUGACUAGAAUUCGGUAGAGGGAGGCGGAACUCCAGGUGUAGCGGUGAAAUGCGUAGAUAUCUGGAAGAACACCAAUGGCGAAGGCAACCUCCUGGGCCUGAAUUGACACUGAGACACGAAAGCGUGGGGAUCAAACAGGAUUAGAUACCCUGGUAGUCCACGCCGUAAACGAUGACAACUUGACGUCGGUUUGCUCUGCGAAUCGGUGUCGUAGCUAACGCGAUAAGUUGUCCGCCUGGGGAGUACGGCCGCAAGGUUGAAACUCAAA